UUUCCGUAGGUGAACCUGCGGAAGGAUCAUUACUGAGUGAGGGCCCUCUGGGUCCAACCUCCCACCCGUGUUUAAUCGUACCUUGUUGCUUCGGCGGGCCCGCCUCACGGCCGCCGGGGGGCCCUGCGCCCCCGGGCCCGCGCCCGCCGAAGACACCAUCGAACGCUGUCUGAAGUUUGCAGUCUGAGCAGAUUUAGCAAAAUCGUUAAAACUUUCAACAACGGAUCUCUUGGUUCCGGCAUCGAUGAAGAACGCAGC
Molecule: unclassified non-coding RNA, 258 nt
Filed under: uncultured fungus
Lineage: Eukaryota; Fungi
Description: sequence contains ITS1, 5.8S rRNA gene
Rfam family: 5.8S ribosomal RNA (bases 210-258)
Source: RNAcentral